UCCCGGGUCUUGUACACACCGCCCGUCACACCAUGGGAGCGGGUUCUGCCAGAAGUAGUUAGCCUAACCGCAAGGGGGGCGAUUACCACGGCAGGGUUCGUGACUGGGGUGAAGUCGUAACAAGGUAGCCGUACCGGAAGGUGCGGCUGGAUCACCUCCUU
Molecule: ribosomal RNA, 161 nt
Filed under: Heterosigma akashiwo
Lineage: Eukaryota; Raphidophyceae; Chattonellales; Chattonellaceae
Description: partial Bacterial small subunit ribosomal RNA
Rfam family: Bacterial small subunit ribosomal RNA
Source: RNAcentral